This 791-nucleotide ribosomal RNA is filed under the name Scirtes hemisphaericus. RNAcentral's name for it is "partial 16S ribosomal RNA". The stretch from base 381 to 539 matches the Rfam family "Bacterial large subunit ribosomal RNA", at positions 2473 to 2632 of the family's 2925-position model. The record is from RNAcentral. Lineage: Eukaryota; Metazoa; Arthropoda; Insecta; Coleoptera; Scirtidae.
UUUUUUUUGUUAAUAAUUUAAAGUAAAGCCUGCUCAAUGAAUAUUUAAAUAGCUGCGGUAUUUUGACCGUACAAAGGUAGCAUAAUCAUUAGUUUUUUAAUUGAAAGCUAGAAUGAAUGGUUUAACGAGAAAUUAACUGUCUCUAUAAAAUUAUCAAAAUUUAAUUUUUAAGUCAAAAAGCUUAAAUUUUUUUAAAAGACGAGAAGACCCUAUAGAUCUUUAUAAAUAAUAAAUUUAUUAAAUUUUUAGAUUUAUUUUUUUAUAAUUUUAUUUUUAUUUUAUUGGGGUGAUAUAAAGAUUAAAAUAACUCUUUAUUUUUUUAUUAAUUAUUUUUAUAAUUUUGAUCCUUAUUUAUGAUUAUAAGAUUAAGUUACCUUAGGGAUAACAGCGUAAUUUUUUUAAAGAGUUCUUAUCGAUAAAAAAGAUUGCGACCUCGAUGUUGGAUUAAGAAAAAAUUUUGGUGCAGAAGUUAAAAUUUUAGGUCUGUUCGACCUUUAAAUUCUUACAUGAUCUGAGUUCAAACCGGCGUGAGCCAGGUUGGUUUCUAUCUUUAUUUUUUUAAAAUAUUUUAGUACGAAAGGACCAAUUAUUUAAUAUAUUAUUUUAUUUAAAAUUUAAAUUAAUUACUUUGGCAGAUUAGUGCGUUAAAUUUAGAAUUUAUUUAUGUAUAAUUUAUACAAGUAGUACUUGAUUUUAAAUGAAUUAAUUUUAGUAUUUAUUUAUUCUAUUGUUUUAAUUAUUGGUGUUUUAGUUGGAGUAGCUUUCUUAACUUUAUUAGAGCGUAAAGUUUU